GACGAACGCUGGCGGCGUGCUUAACACAUGCAAGUCGAACGGAAAGGCCCUGCUUUUGUGGGGUGCUCGAGUGGCGAACGGGUGAGUAACACGUGAGUAACCUGCCCUUGACUUUGGGAUAACUUCAGGAAACUGGGGCUAAUACCGGAUAGGAGCUCCUGCUGCAUGGUGGGGGUUGGAAAGUUUCGGCGGUUGGGGAUGGACUCGCGGCUUAUCAGCUUGUUGGUGGGGUAGUGGCUUACCAAGGCUUUGACGGGUAGCCGGCCUGAGAGGGUGACCGGGCAAAAUUGGGACGGAGAGAGGGCCAGGACUCCUAGGGGAGGAAGAAGGGGGAAAAAUGAAAAAGGGGGGGAGGGCCGGAGGAAGAAACCCCGGGGGGGGAAGGAGGGCUUGGGGGUUGAAAACCGCUUGCGCCGGUAAGAAAGGGGGAGUGAGGGAAAGGGGUAAAGAAGAACCGGCAAAAUAGGUG
RNAcentral lists this ribosomal RNA (469 nucleotides) under uncultured bacterium. Its description in RNAcentral is "partial 16S ribosomal RNA". It matches the Rfam family "Bacterial small subunit ribosomal RNA", at positions 28 to 507 of the family's 1533-position model. The record is from RNAcentral.